UACGGGGGGGGCAAGCGUUGUUCGGAAUUACUGGGCGUAAAGGGCUCGUAGGCGGCCAACUAAGUCAGACGUGAAAUCCCUCAGCUUAACUGGGGAACUGCGUCUGAUACUGGAUGGCUUGAGAUUGGGAGAGGGAUGCGGAAUUCCAGGUGUAGCGGUGAAAUGCGUAGAUAUCUGGAGGAACACCGAUGGCGAAGGCAAUCCCCUGGACCUGUACUGACGCUCAUGCACGAAAGCGUGGGGAGCAAACAGG
RNAcentral lists this ribosomal RNA (253 nucleotides) under uncultured bacterium. Its description in RNAcentral is "partial 16S ribosomal RNA". It matches the Rfam family "Bacterial small subunit ribosomal RNA", at positions 524 to 776 of the family's 1533-position model. The record is from RNAcentral.